UACCAGCUCUCCGAGUUGUAGGGAUGAUUAUUGGGCUUAAAGCGUCCGUAGCUGGCUUAGCAAGUCUCCUGUUAAAUUCAGCGACCUAAUCGUUGAGCCGCGGGAGAUACUACUAGGCUAGGAGGCGGGAGAGGUCGACGGUACUUUCGGGGUUGGGGUGAAAUCCUAUAAUCCCGGGAGGACCACCAGUGGCGAAGGCUGUCGACUAGAACGCGCUCGACGGUGAGGGACGAAAGCUGGGGGAGCGAACCGGAUUAGAUACCCGGGUAGUCCCAGCUGUAAACUAUGAGGGCUAGGUGUUGGGGUGGCUACGGGCCACUUCAGUGCCGCAGGAAAGCCAUUAAGCCCGCCGCCUGGGGAGUACGGCCGCAAGGCUGAAACUUAAAGGAAUUGGCGGGGGAGCACCACAAGGCGUGAAGCUUGCGGUUC
Molecule: ribosomal RNA, 429 nt
Filed under: uncultured archaeon
Lineage: Archaea
Description: bacterial SSU rRNA
Rfam family: Archaeal small subunit ribosomal RNA
Source: RNAcentral